This 119-nucleotide ribosomal RNA is filed under the name Pteropus alecto (black flying fox). Lineage: Eukaryota; Metazoa; Chordata; Mammalia; Chiroptera; Pteropodidae. The record is from RNAcentral.
AUCUACAGCCACGCCACCCUGAACAAGCCUGAUCCCAUCUGGUCUCGGAAGCUAAGCAAGGUCGGGCCUGGUUAGUACUUGGAUGGGAGACCACCUAGGAAGACCAGGUGCUGUAGGUG